RNAcentral lists this ribosomal RNA (292 nucleotides) under uncultured bacterium. Its description in RNAcentral is "partial 16S ribosomal RNA". It matches the Rfam family "Bacterial small subunit ribosomal RNA", at positions 505 to 796 of the family's 1533-position model. The record is from RNAcentral.
GUGCCAGCCGCCGCGGUAAUACGAAGGGGGCUAGCGUUGUUCGGAGUUACUGGGCGUAAAGGGCGCGUAGGCGGCGCAUCAAGUCAGGCGUGAAAGCCCUGGGCUCAACCCGGGAAUUGCGCUUGAGACUGGUGUGCUUGAGUACGGGAGAGGAUAGUGGAAUUCCCAGUGUAGAGGUGAAAUUCGUAGAUAUUGGGAAGAACACCGGUGGCGAAGGCGGCUAUCUGGACCGUAACUGACGCUGAGGCGCGAAAGCGUGGGGAGCAAACAGGAUUAGAAACCCGCGUAGUCC